RNAcentral lists this ribosomal RNA (468 nucleotides) under uncultured bacterium. RNAcentral's name for it is "partial 16S ribosomal RNA". The stretch from base 20 to 329 matches the Rfam family "Bacterial small subunit ribosomal RNA", at positions 47 to 358 of the family's 1533-position model. The record is from RNAcentral.
GACGAACGCUGGCGGCGUGCUUAACACAUGCAAGUCGAACGGAAAGGCCCUGCUUUUGUGGGGUGCUCGAGUGGCGAACGGGUGAGUAACACGUGAGUAACCUGCCCUUGACUUUGGGAUAACUUCAGGAAACUGGGGCUAAUACCGGAUAGGAGCUCCUGCUGCAUGGUGGGGGUUGGAAAGUUUCGGCGGUUGGGGGUGGACUCGCGGCUUAUCAGCUUGUUGGUGGGGUAGUGGCUUACCAAGGCUUUGACGGGUAGCCGGCCUGAGAGGGGGACCGGGACCAAGGGGCUGAGAGAAGGGCCCAGCCCCCAGGGGGGGGCAAGGGGGGGAAAAUUGAGCAAGGGGGAGAAAGCGGGUGAAGAAGCCCCCGGGGGGGGAAGGGGGGCUUGGGGUUAAAAAAAAGUGUUCGCUGUAGAGAAGGGUGAAAGGAGGGUAAGGAAAAAAGAAGCACCGGCUAAAUACGUG